This 529-nucleotide ribosomal RNA is filed under the name uncultured bacterium. Its description in RNAcentral is "bacterial SSU rRNA". It matches the Rfam family "Bacterial small subunit ribosomal RNA", at positions 777 to 1304 of the family's 1533-position model. The record is from RNAcentral.
AAUAGAUACCCGGUAGUCCACGCCGUAAAACGAUGAGUGCUAAGUGUUAGAGGGUUUCCGCCCUUUAGUGCUGCAGCUAACGCAUUAAGCACUCCGCCUGGGGAGUACGGUCGCAAGACUGAAACUCAAAGGAAUUGACGGGGGCCCGCACAAGCGGUGGAGCAUGUGGUUUAAUUCGAAGCAACGCGAAGAACCUUACCAGGUCUUGACAUCCUCUGACAACUCUAGAGAUAGAGCGUUCCCCUUCGGGGGACAGAGUGACAGGUGGUGCAUGGUUGUCGUCAGCUCGUGUCGUGAGAUGUUGGGUUAAGUCCCGCAACGAGCGCAACCCUUGAUCUUAGUUGCCAGCAUUUAGUUGGGCACUCUAAGGUGACUGCCGGUGACAAACCGGAGGAAGGUGGGGAUGACGUCAAAUCAUCAUGCCCCUUAUGACCUGGGCUACACACGUGCUACAAUGGAUGGUACAAAGGGCUGCAAGACCGCGAGGUCAACGCAAUCCCAUAAAACCAUUCUCAGUUCGGAUUGUAGG